CCGCCCCCCCCCCCCCCAACAGCAGCUUUAGACCGGUUGGAAACAGCAUGUCAAGUUACAUGCGUAGUGUCUUUAUAAAAUAAACAUGUGCAGUAUUCACAGGUUACAUGCACAGCUUUCUAUUUUUUCAAAAUAAACAUCGAACCACAAUUUAUUUUUACAGUUCCCGUAAUUAUCAAAAACUUCACACACCGUCGAGGACUCUUGGCAUUAGUUAAAAGCAGGUGCAUCUCACUCUGUAUAGGACUAAUUCAGUAAUGGACAACACUUUGGAUCCAACUAGUUCAAACACUAAAUUCAGCUCACUGUAAUUUCAUCUCCAUUCUUCUACCUAUUAAAACAUUUGAACCUGUAAAGGGAUCCACACUUGCCUUAGAGCGGAGUGGACGGAGCUCCCACUUUAGAAUGUCUUGUUUGCUUUGAGCUCCGCGGCAGCUCUCCCCGGCUGGCUGCGCCCUGCUGCUGCUUAAUGCCUUCUAGGCAGUUAGGAAGUGAAUGGCCUCUAAUUUCUGCCCCAUCCUCGCGUCUUAACAGAAUGGUAUUGCUAGUGUGUCCAGUGUCAAGAGCAAACGCUAUUGUCGUCUAAUGAGGAAGAGUCGAGAAGCAAUCUAACCCUGGAGCGGGGAAAGCAUUGUUCCCCUCCAACAUCCAAUUUGCACCGGAUUCAUCUUAAUGCAGCAGCCCUUGUAACUCUGGAUUAGUGAUAUAACUACGGUAGCGGGAGCUUAGAGUCCCAGACAUCACUGAUUGAUUGAGGUUUAGUCAGGUUCAUUUCUGCAGGACCAAAUCCACCUCAUUUGUUUUUUUUCCCCCAGAUCUUCCCUGUGUUAUCUUUCGAAAUAACGUACCACGGGGCGAUCCGAGGAGUGACUGCUGUGUGUUGAUGGACUGACCUCAGGUGGGCCGCAGAGGGCCAUGGUCGCGGCGGUGAGGGAGUGGGUUGCUUGCAGUAGGGAGACAAUGGCAGAGAAAACAAGCAUCUUUUAUCUUUUGAAGGUGAAGCAGUGUUGACGGGGACCAGAGGACAACCCUGGAGCUGAUUAAUAGCUGUAUUGAAGAAAGUUACAGAAGGCAAAUUGGAUGCACAUGGGGAAAUGUGUGGUUGUGGCCACUCUGUUCACUCUUGUGUCAGGUUUUUCUAAGUUUUUCUGUUUGCACCCGACGUGGUUCUGAUGCGGAAGAGAAAAUAAAAGCUAAAAUCAUAUUAGUGCCAUAAGGGCUUUAUUCAAAUAAAAUAUUGAAUAAAUUAAAGUCAAAAAUUGUCCAUGGUCUAUGAGAUUAUAAAGCCAUUAACAUGAAUAAAAGAAUUAAAAGAAUAAAGUCCCAAAUUUAGCUGCUGACUGAUUGGUACCAAAGAACUGUUCCUCUGGUAAAGAAGGCAAAGCCAGGUGAGGGUGCUGUAAUGUGUUGUUAAAACAAUGCUAGUGUUGGUAUGCAUAGUACUUCAUCCUGAUCUCUCAUACUGCCUUAGGUUAUCAGAUAGAGCCUGAAGCUGUUCCCGGUGUUCUUUCUGAAGGACUCACUGUGAUUGAGAAGGAGGUCUUGAAAGAUAUGUGCACAUUUCUAUUUUUUCUUUCUCUCUGAAAAAAUAGGGUUUGUUGACAAAAUAAUAAUCGAAUCGAAUUUCACUGAAUAUCCUGGGUUUAUCUUGUGAACCACAAUUUCUCUCUCUGAAUAUUUCCCCAUGCUCUGUGAUUACUUUCUUUUUUUGUUAGAUAAAGCAUACUUUCCGCACUUCAGGCUACUAAAGAAUGAGGGAAUGAAAGUAAUCAAUGUGUUGAGCUGUUCACACCUCAUGUCCAUAUAAUUACCCGGCGCUAAAAUGAGAGGGUCGCGGGGAGAUAUAGAUAUGGCUUCGCUUUAAAUGAUAAUGACCCCAAAACAUCUGGCAGCAUAUGGUGGAGGAGCAGUUUGGGGAAUUCAGACCGUCAAUAUGUGUGCUAAUAAUAGUUUGAUGGAUGUAAUGCUGCUUUGCACAAUCUUGGUUGGUUUUGUAUCUUAUGUGGAAAGUGCAAUUAUUUAAAGGCUCAUUACAUUAAAGUAAAUCCUGUCAGGAUAACUUUCUCAACUUGUGAUGAAGUUUGGGAGCAUAACUGUGAUUGUUUUUGUUGUUAAGUGUUGAAUAGUGCUGUUUUUCUCCUGGACUCCUUUGUAAAUUUGCAUUAUUUAUUCAUCAAAAAUGAUUUUCAAAGCUGCAUGGGGAAAAUCUCAGCUUAACCCAUAAACACCAAACUAGUUUUUUUUUGUAUGAUUAUUUUUUUGGUCUUCAUUUUAAAAGAAGAAGGAAUAUAUAAUGGUCGCCGUUAUGGAUGUUUUUAAAUUUCCAUAUCCAUACCAUUGAAUGAUCCUCAAUAGAAAUUGGGAGGAGUGGAAAAGACGGUUAAAGGAGCACCUCCACAGGUCAGAAUUGAGGUUGGAAGGGAGGGAAGAUUUCUUUAUUGUGGGGAAAAAAAUGGAAAAACAAAGACAAGUAUAUUGUUGUUUCAGUUGUGGAAUAAGUGGUAAACAACACGUUUAUAACAAGUGCAGUCGUAGAUGAUUACCAGAACAGCUGUGGAAGUGUGUGUCCCAAGGCAGGUUAGGGUUAUGGGGAGCUCACAGGCCUCCUGUGCUGCCCAAACAGCACCAAGACUCAUGAAGGUCGUGUGUCUCUUUUGCAACUUGACGUGCAUGUGUUCGCUACUGGGCUCAGUUUGUUUCAUAGGACCUCACACUCAAAGCUUUCGAACAAUUGCCGUGCCACCCCUACCUUGCAGAGUGUUACUCAAAGUGUUCAGCAUGUAUCAUAGGUGGUGCCAUGAGUCUGCAUGGCAUUAUAUGUAGUUUGUGUCCCCUUUGCAUUGAGCUAAUGAAGACGGAAACCACUCCCAUGUGAUGCUUGCCGUCACUCGACAAACGGGGAUCCGUGCCAUGGCAGGACAUGCGAGUUAAGAGUUCACACAAGACUCUGAGCCAUUCUGAAUAAUAUUCAGGGAAAAAUAGAACAAUCCCAUCUGACACAGCCCAUGUCAUAGAGAGUCUAAAUUAAAAAAGGCACGGCUUCCAAUUUAUACUUGUUUUCCAUGCUGAUGGUGGAACGCUGUAACUUGACAUUGUAGGACCAUUAAGAAUCAAACAACUUCCGCACAGGCCUGCAAAUAAGGCUCACCGGCUACCUGUCUUAAUUAAAAGCAAAAAGUAGUGGUGCUAGUUGGGGGGCAGACGCUUCAAGGAGGUCCAGAGGGAGUUAUAACUUUGCAGUUGACCAGAUGCGCCUGCUGCUUUCAUGCCUCUCUAUUUAAGUGGUCCGGUGCCGCACAGUGCCUCGCAGCAUAAAUAGCAGAUCUGAGGCCGUUCAUCCUGCGACACUGGAGCAGGGGGCAUACCAAAAGAAACACACAUUCCUUGCAGAUAUAAGUCCAGCGCAUGACCUCAAACGAUGUCUCACUUUUAAUUGUGUUUCCGCGGCUUCAAAAGAGCAGUGAUUGAGGGAACGUCUUUGAUCUUCCUCUGGAUUUAGAUUUAUCGAUAUGCUCUAUUUAAGUGGAAGGAACCUGUUAGGUUGAGGUCGAGGAAGUAGGACUCAAACGCAGUCUUUAGCAACACAGUACACUUCAUGCAGAAAACAGGGGAAACUGACUAUCAAAACAACUCACUAACAUCAACAAUGAACCUAAAAAAGAAACAAGGGACACACAUGGUUUAAAUCCUCGGCAAGGUGCAGGUGAUUGGACACAAGAGGAAUCCAUCAGGGACAUGGCAUAAAAACACAGGGGAAAACACAACAGGGCAGGAAAAUACUAAAUAAAACAGGACAAAACCUUGGUCUGUUUUUGGCAAGAUACUUGUCUCUCACAAUUAAAACGGGCCCGGUAGCUGCUUUAGCUGACUGUGGCAGCAACAAAGCUCUUUCAAUUGUUUAACAGGGGUUGGCGUUGUAGGUGUUAGAGCGAAGUUGGAUAUACAAAAUCUUAAAAUAACAUUUAAUUGGAUCUUUCCAUCACUGCAUCAACAUAUUCUGUCCUCAUUAAAACAAUGAACAAUGUCAUCCAAUUCCAAAAGUUGAUAAAAAAUAGAGCUUAACACCCAAGAAAUAAAUACUCUCAGAAUGCUUUAAAUAACAUUACAUUUUAGAUUCUCUUCAAAAUAAAAAAAAUAUAUAAACAAAUCAACAAAUAGGUGACCAAAAACAUUAUUCUCAGAUACACCAUCAAACUAAACUGCAGUGUGUGUGUGUUCACAGUGAUGAUGGAUAUGUCAUCCAUGGGAGGAAUAUGGACUUAGACCAAGGUGCAGAGGAAACACAUUACAAUGAGGAGAUCUUUUGCAGGGUUUUGAGCUUUCUUGAAAAUAAACUCUUCUUUACAAAACAAAAGCAGGACAGCACAGGCACAAGAGGAAAGAGGUAAAUUAGUUUGCGAGUGAAGGGUACAAAACAGGCAGGAACACUAGGUGGAGUUUAUGUGGGUCGUCACAAUCAAGUUUACCUUUUGCUCACAUAUGUAUUUUGAAUGGUUUUUUGGGACAAAAUCUCUACCUCACAGCAGCUAGUUGUCACUUGACACUAACCGGUGCCGCAAGUGACAAGCUGUGAGAGAACGUGUUGCAGCCCCUGGCACAGAGAAGGAGAUAUGAAGAUCUGAUACACAUGAGGGACUUGUUUGAAGACAAAUUUACUGUUCAUUCGGCUCUGCAUGAUAUUUGAUGACAGUCACCAGAUUUACUCUGUAAACAUGGAACAGAUGAAGCAAACAUGUAUCCAUUGAAAUGUUUUCCCUUGGAUAGACAGAAAUACAGGAAAACAGGCGCAUGUAUUUCUAUAACAAGUCCUGUGAAUGCGUCUUUUGCCUACUGUAUAAACAUUAAUAUUAGGGCUGUCAAUAGAUUAAAAAAAAAAGACUAAUUAAUCGCACAUCAGGUGGUUGUCCUCUGCCGAUCGCAAAUGAUCUGUUGAGAUUGAAGUAGGCUAGUAAGCUAUCUUUGCCUAGCAGUGCGUUAUCUGGUCCGUUAGCAAAGUCCUUUGCUCAGUACUCCGCUGUAUGUCUAUGCCUAAUGCAAAAAGCUCUGUCCCUUCUUCAGUUACUGUCUUGCUCUCCGAUCUCACUGAAUGCAGCUAGCAGCAGUUUUCUUUCCAGGUUCAACUCUGUUCACUUUCGGGACACUUUCAGACCACACCGGAAGUAAACAAACUGCAUUAAAAUAUUUUAUUGCAUUAAUCCCGGCCAGAUUAAUCGCAUAGUAAUUAAUAAGUAAUUGUGACCUAAUUAACAUAUAUAUGCCAGAUGUUAUAAACUGUAGUCCAGAGUUUAUUUGUUUUUUGACUUGCUCCAAACCCUCCACAGCUCCACAGGGACGAGUCAAACAUGGCUGCUGGGUCUCAAUGUGGCAGAACCACAGAUGUUUUGUGAUGAGAUCGUUCUGGAAGUUCAUCAACACCUAAUGACUGCACGAAUAUUUAAAGGCGGCCCAUGAAGCCAGGAAUCCUCCUGCUGAUAGAGACACCUGAGCAGUUUCACUGCUAGCGUUUAGUGUCACUUAAGGCACAAUUAGUGAGGGCAAGAGGUGGUGAGGCGGCAGACCUCCACGUUUACGCUGCAUUUGACACCAAGCGUGGCCCAGGGAACAACAAAAAGUAUGCUGGGAAAUUUCAUGUUUAAGCAGCAGUUUAGGUUUUAAAUGAGUUCCUGUCACAUCUGGCGCUGCGUCACCCAGGUCAACAGCUAGAAGAACCUGCUCAACUCUAGUUGUCGGUGUAAUAUUCUGAUAAAUAUCAGUGCUAUUUAAUUUAUUUUCAUGGGAAUAAGUUCAAGAUAAAAUGCCAGUUCAUGGUGUAGUUCAAAUUUACAGUAAAUAAUUAUUUGAGGUGUAUAAAUAAUUUGUUUAAAAUGAGUGAGUUAAAAGUAAUUCUGUUACGUGCAUGAGUUUAUGAGCUUAGAGUUUUUACACUUCCGGGGGAAACGCGGGAAGGGAGAAAAAGAAAAAGAAGCCACAGGGAAGAUGAGCUGAGACUCCAGGAUGCGUGUGUGAGUCGGACUCCACACGACCGUUUGUGUUUUGGUGAGCACAAGCCAAUCUCGGUUCCGGGAGCUAGCGGGAGCUAGCAGGAGCUAGGCUAACGCUGCAGUCGCUGCUGCCAGAGGACGUGUCGGUGCUGCUGGGGGACGGAGGUCUGUCGCUGCCAGCUGCUAUGGUCGGAGACUGCUGCUCACAACGAGCGAGAUGUUCGUAAAUUGCGCCACGGCCCUGCUAAUUCCACAUACGGAGGUACGAUAGAAAGUUUCAUUAUGAGCUCCGACUAAAGCGCGCCAACGAUAAGAGACAAAGAGUGCACUCAAAGAAACUUAGGCAGUUGAGAAAAGGGAAAACUAUACCCCGGGUUUCUCUAUUUUUAUUUUCUAUAUUCUUUGUUUCUCUAUUGAAAAAGGUUAGGAUGUGUGUUUUCUGCAGUUUCCAAUACACUAUCUAAAACUGAGAUCCUGUGUUGGUUUUAUUGAUUUGUGUUUAUUCUUGAAGGGUUAUAAAAGGGUUACAGGUCAAGUGUAUCACUCUAUGGUCUCCAACUUAAAGGUGAGGAUCAUACAUUACCCUAGACUGGUAUUCACACUUUGAAAUGUGACUUUUACCAUGAAACGUUUGAUAAGAGUUAAGGCCCAAUCUUCAAGCAUAAGGUGGGUUUUAAUACACGAGCCGGUGGUAAAAGGGUUACAUAGGUCUUGAACAUUUGGUUGAAUUAACACAGCAUUCAUGAAGCCGUUUCUUUUAAAGAUUGUCUCUAAAACAUGAAUUCAAGGUCCUACUACUCAGAGACCCGCUUAUAGUCUUGAAAAAGGAUUUACUGAGAGGUAAUGACUGAAAGUGGGAGAGAGGAUCAACAAAUAAAGGCCUUGUUUAACCAAGAGCAAGUCCUUGAAAACGGUGACACAAUGUGAGGCUGGAAAACAACAUUAGUCGAGAGAUUCGUCAAUAAGCAUGUAAGCUGAGGCAGCUCCGCACAGCAACGAUGGAAGAAGGUUGCUGUUCAGGUUUAGUUUGAAAGCAAAAAGGUAACGUAACUUUAAUUGUGUUACAUGUUGAUGCGUAGAACAGGCAAAUGGCACUUGUUCUUUAUUAAAGCUGAUUCAAUGUUACUGUUGUAGUUUCAUUGUCUCAAUGGAACGUACUUGUCUUGAAGUUGUUUUCUUGCAUGAACCUAAGCAAUCAUUUAACAAUUUUAACCAUGCAGUAGAAUGUUCCUGCAUGAGGGAUACAAAGCUGAUAUGGUACAUCUUGUAUGGCUGUUUUUAGCUCAGAAAAAUUGACGUUUCAAUUAUCCGUGUUUUUUGUUGGAAAAACUGCAAUAACGUCAUGGCAAGAAGGGGGUUUUAGACAAAACAAGACUAUGUCUGUAUCGUUUGCACGAUAAGUUGUGUGUAUAACAUGACAGCUGAGAUAAGAUGACCGCUCAAGAUAUGAAAUCUUUGUGACGUGUAUGUCCCGUGUCCAGAAGGCCACUCUGUGUCUCAUGAUGAUCAGAUGUAUGUCUCAGGAUAAAGAACAUGAAAGUCCUUGUACAAUUUUUUGCAAAAAACGACAAAGCCAAUGUUGUUUUUUGGGGAAAAAUAGUAUAAUUAAAUCAUUAUUGUCUUCAUCCAGGGAACCUUAAUUUAAAACAGGGGUGAGCCAAAUUGUUCCUAAUUCCUUUUUAAGUUAACAUAAUGGAGUACAGAUUUUAAUAAAUUAGAACACAAUAUUUAUUCUUUUAAAAUAAGUACUGAUACAACAAAGUUAUCAAUCCAAUUAGAAAUCAUUAGUUUUGAGCAGCUUUUUUCUGCUACUGUCACAAAACAAAUUUCUAGGGUGGACUUAGAAUAUUUUUAUAGUCACUUUGCUGAUAGAUAUUUGUUAUCAGUACAGUAGCGUAAUAUCCAUCACAGAUCAUGCACCAGGAUAACCAUUUAAUAAUGCACAUUUGGAUACUAAGAGGAUAAUGAAUACAAGAUGAAUCCUACAUUCCUCCUUCAGAGACACAUCAAAGAGAGUAUUUGAAAUUUGCUGGUACGAAGAUAAUUAGUUUGGAAAGCUUCAAAAGCAUAUGUACAGAGGCAGCUGUGAGGAAUAAGAGAGUAUCUCACUAUGAAGAGAAACAUAAGGAUUUGGAAACUGAAACUGUCCAAACAUUUUUUCCAGGGGGCAAUUUGCAGGAGCUCUCCAAGCUCAAAUGUCAGUUACACAAGAUAUGGAAAAGAAAAGGCAGAAUACAUUAAAAAACAAACUGAAAAUCACCUCGCUAGACGACUGAGAGGGAAAACAUUUCCUAAUGUGAUGCCAGCAAACAACACAGUGUUAUGAAAAGUUCUAUACAUUUUCAUCUACUCAUACAUCAGUCGGGAGAUAAGACGCAUCUUUCAAACUCAUACUUCCGCAAGCUACAGUCUCAGAAGGCGGUGGGGCUCUAGUUUCCCACAACAGAAGCAAAAGAAGAAAAAGGAAUGCAAUUACUCAAAACCACCGUGUUUUUAUGGACUCCAAGUUGACUAUAAAAAAGAGCUCAUAGAUAAACGUUUUUGUAAUACUUCAACAAAGUUAUCAAGUACAUAUUUAGGAAAUGAUGCACAAUCCAACAAUACUCAAUAGCACCAUUCUGACUGCAGUCUGUGCGUUCUUCUUGGGGUAUUACCAAGCUUUUAUUCGCUCCAACUAAGUGGAUUUAUGAGAAAACAGAUCCUAGAAUGAACAUGUUGGGUUGAUGCUUAAGCUGCAGAUGCUGUGAGGUAUUUAAAACAGUCUGCAAUCAAUAAUGUUGCCUCACUAUGACCUAAUUUUGGCAUCGGCUAUGUACACAGCAAAUUUCAGAGAGUUAAAUUGACUCUGUGAGAUUAAAUUUUAACUCUAAGCUGGUGUUCAUAUUGUCCCAAUCUUGUCAGUUUUAAAUCAACACUCAACAAAGUGUUAACAAGUUAACGCUGAAUAAGUGUCAAAAAUAUAUCUGCCCAGUGUUAAAUACAUUACAUAUAAUUUAGCUGACACGUUUAUCCAAAGCUGGUUUUUACAUUUUAACCUGGGGCGCAAUUAGGGGUUAGGUGUCUUGCUCAUGGACACUUUGACAUGGGAUGUGGAGCAGCCAGGUUUCAGACCACCAACCUUUUGGCUCCCAGCGCACCCUCUCUACUCCAUGCUCCACAGUACGUAGAGUUAAACUGAACACAAAAAAGUGUGACACUGUGAAGUUACAUUUUAAGCCUAUCAAAGAGUUAAUUUAACUCUACUGUGUCUAAGUGUCGCAAAUAAAUCUAAUCUUGACACUGGAUAAUGACUCCAGCUCUUUCGUACCAUUGACUCUGUAAGAGUUGAAUCAACUUUUUGCAGGGUGAUUGCAACUCUGCACUUCCAACACUUCUGACUCAAUACUCCAGUUCCACCAGAAAGUCCAACAGCUGAGCCUCAAGUGGGGCCCCUAGGCAUGACCCUGGCCUUCGGUCCUGCAAUACGAGUAUGUAGGGAGGGGCAGAGCCUUGUCCGCUGUGUUACUGGGCCCACUGGAGGGAAAGGACGCAUGGGAGAACCAACCAGGACCCUAAUGGCUGACUGUCAGCUCCAGUGAAACAGUUUUCUAAAAAGUACACGUGCUGAGAAACACCCGCCAAAAUAAACACAAACUAAAAGUCACCGGCAGUAUUUUUAUUGUGGUUCAUCCAGAAUAAAAACAAUCUGGUAUGUUAUUCAGCUUGGUUUGGAGAAAGCCUUGGAUAAUUAUGGAACUGGGAUUUUCAUUCUCAACCAUGUGUCACUCCCGCUUAACUUCUGAGUUGACUGGGCAGAAUAGUCAUAUAAAAAAACAAAGGCAGCGAUGAUGACAAAUGGACUGGAGUCUGCCUUUUUAGCCCCUCUGGAGGGACACGCUAGGGGUGUUCAUUAAGCACAUUACCAUUAUUUUCUGAGAGAUGCCGUGAGUUGCCAUAUAGGCACGCCCUGAACCUUUUACUUCACACAAAUGAUAUUGGAGCAGUGCUAUCAGACAUCAUGACAUAUCAAUUCUUAUGAACACUAUUACCAUAACUAUCAGGUUCAGAUAUUAGUCGGACUACACACAAGGAAAUGUCUUCUUACAGACAUUUCUCCCAUUUCCAGUGAGGACGUUCAGCUUUAAGAGUGUACCAGGUUCCAUCCUAAAACAAAGGAGCCAUCUUCUCCCCAUGCAUAUUUGUUCAGAAGAAGAUUGAAGAUCUUCUUUGUAACAGAGUUUUUUCUCAGAAUGUCACUAUUAGCAUUAUCUAUUUUAUUAUUUUAUUUUAUUAAUUAUUAUUAUUUAUGAAAUCGAAACAAAAAUAUCUGACAGAAAACAUUCAGCACUUUUGGCACCAUAUGGAGCCCAGACUUUUCCCCCUAGUGUCAAGACUUUGUUUAGGCUCUGGCAGGAGAAGGGUCUGGACCCACUUCUCAAACACGAGCAAUGGACUCGUUUGAGGGCCUGAUGAUUAAAUACUCUCUCCAACAGUCACAAUUCUUUCAUUAUCUACAAAUAACACAUUAUAUACCCACAACCCCACAUUCUCCUCGUACAACACAUACGAAAAACGUUUAUAUCUCAUGUCAAUGCGACCUUUGGCCUUAAUCUUAAUAACUCCACUGACAACAUCCGCAUACAGUGGCAGUGGACUAUCAGAUAGAUGAAGAUGCAUCCACAACGGAAAACAGGCUUAAGAUUCUGGUUGGUAGCACAGACCGAGAAAGACAAUUUAAAAUAUUACCCAGACUGCAUUGCACACCACUGCUGAGGGCGAGGCCCUACAUGCAGUAAAUGUAAUGCUGAAGGUGGAAUUCAUAUCUACAUGUUUUGGAAGUGUGCAAAUUUAAACAUUUUGGGGAUAUGUCUUUGAGCGGUCACCUCCUCAAUGUAUUCUGGCAGCCAAAGUGAGCAGUGCAAGGAGUACAAACAACGCUAAACUGAUUGUCAUGAAGGGUGUGGCUCAGAGGAUUUGUCAAAAUAUGGAAACAUUCAUGUUUUUUUAAGAAAAACAAAAAGAUUCAAUUUCUUUUCAUUAUAAUAAUAAUACAUUUAAAAAAUUGUCAAUAUUUGUGUUCUUUUUUUAAAAUAUGGAAUAUACCCAGUAAGAUAUCUCUGAAAAAUACAUGCUUUUCCUGCACGUCCUCUGUGCUUGUGUGCAUGUCUCAGCUGGGCUGGGGCAAGAGCCAUCCGGCCUAAAAGAGGCCGGUCUAAGAAGCAGUAUCACCGAUUACGGAUUAGAUAUAAAUAAUUAGUUAGCCAAUCAGCGUUUCUAAAUCCGAUUCAGCCUUGGCCAUCGUCAACCAUCCCCAACGAUGCGUUCUCGUCAGGGCUAAUGUCGCGAGGCGCCCUUUUAACGACAUGACCAUGGCAAGCACAAGCAAUAUUCUUCAAAGAAGACCAAACCAUAUCCCGGUAAAAUCUCUCCUCUAAGACCUGUUUGAGAGAAGAAAUUUGGCAGAGAAACUAGAGGUAAAAAACAACUAGGCCCAGACUAACCUGACGACAGACUGACGUGAAAGGGAAGCCCGAAGCUUCUGUAGAGACUGCUACACCCGGAAGGUUUUUGCUUCCCAGGCUGGCUUUUUAAAUCAAUGGGGACCGAAUCCAGCAUGAACCGAUACAGUAGUAAGCACUUAUUUGAAAAAAAUAUAUGGAUAACUCCUUCAAGCCAGCCGUAUUAGGUAGAGUUAACAUUAGUACCCAGCUGGACGACGGACACAGGAAAGCAAUAAUUGUUUGAUACCUUUUUUUGUGUUGAAUCACAGAGAUCCAUCUAUCCAUGCACACAGGGUCACGGGGGAGCUGGAGUCUAUCCCAGCCAACUUCGGGCGAUAGACUGGGUACACCCCGGACUGGUCGCCAGGCAAUCACAGGGCUGAAUCACAGAAAUGUUUAAUGAAAUCGAUUGAAUGAUGGCCAUACCAAAAAUGAAUUCCUUGCCACCACUGUAAUAGCUGUAAUGUGCAGUUUUAUUUUCUUGAAUGGUUAGAAAAAUGUAUUUGAUCCCGUUGAUCCGUUUGGGUCAGAAAUCCAACGUAUGUUUAUUGUCUUUGAACCAUAAGUGGCUUCUGAAAAAUCUCUGCGGAGUGGAGUGUAAUUUGUAACUUAAUCCAUCACAGCAAACAUAUUGUGUGUUUUUUAUAUCCCGUCUGAGUCGUGUCAUGGUUGCCAGGUGCUGCAGGGCAAACUGCACAAUGAUGAAACACGCUGUGCACCAGUAUUCUGCAGGAGUCUCUUGGUGGUUUGAAACUGAAUGGCAAAUCAAUUGACCCGCGGCAGCUGAAGAUCAUUUCAAAGGUAUGCAAAUCACAUUACAUCACAUGUAAAAUGAGUCUCACAUUCGCACCGAGUCAUGUUUCCCCUACAAGUCAAACGCAGCGUUCUCCUCAUCAUAAUGGAUAAACAACGAGAUCUCCUUCUAAUUGGAUGGCGGCCGGGGCCUGCCUUCUAUACAUCUUGGAAAUAGAAGCCUGCCAAAGCACAAAGUAAUUAAAAACCCAAAUAAAACAUGAUGGUCUUCUAAAAGCCAUGCCUUUAAUGAACAAAAGGACUAAUUAAUUGCACUGUGUCAAGGAGCAUACUCGCACUGAAUUAUAGAUGAGAUGUGAGGGGUGCCAAGUUCCCAGAGUGAUAGGAGAUAUAUGGGGUAUGAAACAAUUAAAAGAGGCAUUAAAACAGACACUGCGUCAUGCCACAAAAAAUCUCUCUGCUGUCUUUGUACAGACAAAAGCAAAUCCACAUAACAUUUUAUGAUUUACCAACCUUAGUAAUGGUAUAAAUAUAUAUCCAAACUAGCAGAACUUGCUUGGAUUUAUUCUAACUAAAAUGUCUAGAGACCAAAAAAAAAGUCCAUUAUUAACCAGAAUCUGAUAUCAAUAAUUUGAUCUGCAUUUGUGAAGAAAAAUGAGGAUCAGGAGAGAUGCUCCCACGGGAAAAUACUCCACUCUGUCUUCUGUCAUUCAUGAGUACGUUCUAGUACUUUCCUGAGGGGAGCAUUCAGAACUCCAGUCAUACAUUUUCAUUUGGCUGUUCAGUACAGUACAUAAGCAACAACGGUGUUAUGAGCUUUGACACAUUGUUUACUGUAAGGGUCACAUCCUUCAUGAGAUGUUUUUUCAUUUAGUUGUAUGUGUCACAUGUCGAAAACAAAACAUUUGUUAAAACACUUCUGCAAUCAAAUAAACCACAUAAAAAAGCUCAGACACAACAUCAGGAGAGGUAUUCACAGAAAACUAUGAAUCCUGGAUGACCACUUGAGGGAGUGCCUAACACUGGAUUUAUUUCUGUAUCACGCAUGCGCAGGGUAAGUCGCUAUACCGACAGAGUCACCCGUGACCUUGGACGAUCCUCGUCGUCUAUAAGUUUCAGUGUCAACGUUCCACUCUUAAAAUAAUCUUUUUGAUUUAAGGAAAGAAAAAGAGCUUACCAAAUCAGUCACCUAAAAAAGGCUUUCCUCGAGGUUGAUCCACUGCUCGUCUCGUUCAAAACUGCGUGGGCCCUCAAUUUAGGCAGCCUAUUACCUGCCUGCAGUAUUUGAAUUAGGGAAAAAGGUGCAUUCAAUGUGCAGAUCCAAAUUGUGUCCACAGCGGGUGCGCCGUUUGACAGUGAGCGAUCCGUAGGGGGAGUGGAUCCGGUGCGCAUGGCCAAACCAAGUCUGACUCUACAGCGGAUCUGGCUGACUGAGGGCCGAUCCGCCCCAGAGUAGACAGGAUGACACCAGAAUUUAUAGACCAUGGGGAUCAUCUGAGGUCACAGAUGACAUUGACCGAGACAGACCAUAAUCCAUAUCGUAUAUGUCUCUAUAAUAUCUAUAAUAUCCGGCCACGUCACCGUUCAAAAACAAAAGCCGGCCCCUGGGUACAGUUGAACACAGUUUAUUUUGGUUAAUUGACAGUAAAGGGGGGUAAGCUCAACACGUCACCAUUCACAAGCCGUUCUCGUCGUCUUCUUUUGCCAGGUCAUACACAAGCGGGUUCUCUACUCGACUUUCCGAAACUACGUCUCACUUUUUUUUCAUCUCUCUUCCUCUCAAUUUUUAUGCUCUCCUCAAUAACUAAACUGUUCCCACCCUCUCUAGGCAGGAUGUCCAUAUAAGGCUUGGGGGUGGAGCCAUCUGACCGCAAGAUACCUCCCCUGCAUCACCAAGCCCUCACCUCUCCCUGCAGUCUACCACAAUAUGUACAUAUCUUUUAUCUUGUACUCCGUGUGCUACGGUUUUACCAAAAAACUGAUGAAUGAAUGAAUCGGGUUAAUUUAAGUAAGUUAAAAGACAUAAUUUGGCCGUUUACACUUUGGUCAUGUCAUCAAGAGGAAUGUUGAACAGGCCAACUUUAGGACGAGGUACUCGUGUAACAGGCGGUUGUUGAUAUGUUGAAACUCUAACUAAUACACUUAGUUCAGUUGUUUGAUCAGACAGUUGAAUAGACAUUUGAGAGAAAAUGAACCCCUGUUUAACACCUGGCUGAAUCUUUUUUAUCGGGUUGAUUCCAGUUGCUACAUUUUUCCCCACAUACUUUAAUUAGUGAAGCUAAAGUAACACAUUUUUAUUUUUGAAAUGGUCAAGAUCCUGGCCAGAUAAUAAUUUUGAGUUUACUUCAGAUGCUCCGGUUCUAACACUAAAAAGCAGGAAUGAAUGCCCGCCCCCCGGUACCCAGCGCAUACGGUGAAAGACAAGAAUGAGCUAUUGGGAAUGCUUCUGCAAUUCUGUUUCUUCACAGGCUCAUGUUAAGCACAGUUGGCUGACGUUAGAGGACAUAGCUUAGCUAACACAACAAUAGCUUAGUUCGUUCAACAGCAACUCAAAUUGACAUUUGAGAGGGAAUGACCUGUUUAACGCCUUGCUAGAUAUUUUUUAUUGGGUUUGAGUUCAGGGCUUUGACACAUUGUUUACUGUGAGUGUCUUCAUGCCUUGAUGAGAUGUUUUUUCAUUUAGUUUAAUUAAAGAUCACCAGAUGGAUUCUCACAACAGCCUGGGUAGAGUUCAGAUCAGCCGAUUCGGGGCGGAUGACCACUCUAUUGAUUUGUUUAAUCAACCUAAAUAUGACGAAAGUGACGUCAAGCGAUCCCUGACUUCCCCUCGCUUUUACUUUGAAAAAACGGGAAAAGCAUCACAUGACACUCAAUAUUUCUGAUUGGCUCAAAAAAAAACUACCAGACGACUGCAGGAGCCAUUUUACCUCGCACUGAGCCCUGGCAACCGCUGAUUAAAUCAGUGAAAAAACGACAAUUUACACAUUCCUGAGUUUUUCGCUUCCAUGGCUUGAUGAGUUUUGUACUGGUUCGGCAUGGUUUGUCAGCAAAAUGAUACUUAUUUCACCGUAAUCAGCGUGUUCCCCUUGUGUGUGGGAAGUGUGGCUAGCUUGAAGCGUCAUAAAAAUAUGGCACAUUUGUUCGGUCAAUUCCAACAUUUCUGGACAAAUCUGCAUGGAGUAUGUUACUCCUCUUACUCUUACUUUUACUCCUACUUGGUAAAAAUUGUCUUCUUGCUUAUUGUAGCCAGGACUCAGAGGAUUGAACCCUGGCUUUGCCUGCGCAGGCUGCUGAGCUACGUGUGUGUGCGCUCAGAUAUAUUUCUAUUUUAUUGAUGCAAUGUUUUGGCGGGCUUUGUCUAAGAGAAAUAAAACCUAAAUGACUAGAUUCGGCUGAUGCUAUUUGAUUUUGUUUUCCAUUGUAGCACUUUUGACUGAAAAAGUUUUACACCACCAUACUCACAAUUUUUCAGUUCUGUUCUGUUUGGAGUAAUUUCAUUUUGAUUGAUGAUUAUUGUAGCCAGGACUCUGUUGAAUCAAAAGAUUUAAAGAGUAUUUUUUCAUGAUAUAUACCUAAAUAAUGGAUUAUGGUACUGGUUCUGCCCCCCCCCCCCCCCCCUCGGGGGGACUUUAGGGUGGAAAAAGAGUCCUUGGAAUGCAAUCGGAAAACGUGAAUCUUCACAUGAGCUCUUCUUUAACCCUAUAAAGCAGAUAUGAUCAUGUGAUCUCAGUGAUGAGCAUACAGCACAAAGACUUCGAUAAGAGAAUAUGAGCAGGAAAAGCCCCCAUUGGCACGCUAGGAACAAACGCUGGCCCCAGUGCUUUCUAAUGCUUAAUGCGAUGCGGCAAAGAUUGCACCCCCCUCCUCCCCCCAACAAGCCACUGCAUUUCCAUUUCAUGUUCAGCUGAGCGGAGUUGAGUAUGUGCAAGGAGUGUUAGCAGCCUAUCACACAGCCACCGGAGCGCAUUAGGACAAUUCACACGGUGCGUCCUAAUGCUCCAGGCUUCUUCCUAACAAACUCACACCUGUGAAGUGAAAAGCCCCACUAUGAAGGUUAUUGCUCUUUAAUUUAUCUUUAAUAAAAGCUUUUUAUGCAUUUUAAGAAAGAGUCGUUGACAGGUUUUCUUUUUUUGUAACAAAGAAGCACGUCGCUGAAAUGAAAAAACUACAAUUGCGGCAGCGUUUUCUUUCUCCUGUGUUGGUACGAGUGCAUGACAACGUUCUGGUUUGCGAGAGGCUCUGCACUGCCUUAGCACCUGUGGUGGCGGGUGUGGUUUGGCUCGGCUGCAGGGGGGACCGAGAAGGGAGUGGUUCAGGGAACGGUGCCGGGGGAGGCAUAAUCAGCCUCAAGUGGGAUUAAUCAAUCUAUGUGUUCUACCUUUAAGAAGGAGAAAUCCGGCGACAGCGAGAGAGAAUCUGGCAAAGGAGCUAGAGCCGGACGCGUACUGUGUGCAGACUGUGUUGCUAAAUAAAGUCGCUGUAUAUUCGUCAUUCCACGUUCCCCCAGAGGACCACACGUUACAGUGGCGCCCAACGUGACUGCGAGAUGGAACUGACCGAUGGCGACCACCACCUGGGGAGGCCGGCCCAGCCGAUUGUGGUGCUCGGCCACAUGAUCGGGGAACUGGCGGCCAUCCAACGGGAGCAAGCGGAGGCCAACCGACAGUUCCUGGUGGCGCUCCAGGCACAGGUGGGGAGACAGGCCCAGGCGCUGGAGCAGCUGGCGGCGCGGACUGUGUAACCAUAGCUCCCUCGUGAUGCUCAUCUCUCCGAGAGCCAGAGGGCGGACGUCGCCAGGUUGCAGGAGCGGUUUGCUAAUGUGUUCUCUCCCUUGCCAGGCCGGACCGACCUCAUAGUGCACAGUAUCGAGACGCCCCCGGGCGUGACGGUGAGGCCACGGCCCUACAGGUUGCCCGAACAAGUGGAAAGAAGUGGUUCGGAGGGAAUUGGCGAGUAUGUUGGAGUUGGGGGUAAUAGAAGUGUCCAACAGUGCCUGGUGCAGCCCCAUCGUCCUUGUGGCUAAGAAGGAUGCAUCUGUACGGUUCUGCGUGGAAUAUCGCAGGGUGAAUGACGUGACACGGUUCGAUGCCUACCCAAUGCCCCGGGUCGACGAACUCCUGGACCGGCUAGGCACUGCUCGUUUCUUCACGACACUGGAUUUAACCUAGAGCUACUGGCAGAUUCCUCUGUCGCCAGAGUCCAAUGAGAAAAUGGCAUUCUCCACCCCGAACGGUUUGUACCAAUUUGCCACACUUCCCUUCAGGCUGUUUGGGGCCCCGGCCACGUUUCAGUGUCUCAUGGAUCGGGUGCUGCGUUCGCACGCUGCAUAUGCUGCCGCCUACCUGGACGACGUGAUUAUCCACAGCACCACCUGGGCGGAGCAUUUGCGGCAGGUGGGCGCGGUGCUGGAGGCGCUUGGACAGGCGGGGCUCACCGCCAACCCCGGGAAGUGUGCAGUUGGACGGGUGGAGGUACGGUAUUUGGGGUACCACUUGGGGAGCGGGCAGGUGUGCCCUCAGAUGGACAAGACGGCAGCCAUCGCGGCCUGCCCGCGGCCCAAGACAAAAAAAGAGGCGAGGCGGUUCUUGGGGCUGGCGUGGUACUACAGGCGGUUCAUCCCCGGCUUCGCGGACCUCACCAGCCCCUUGACCGACCUGACCCGGAAAGGUGCGUAAGAUCCGGUCCAGUGGUCGGUGCAGUGCCAGCAGGCGUUUGAGAAGGUAAAGCAGGCUCUCUGUGGGGAACCACUCCUUCAUACUCCUAACUUCUCUCUCCCCUUUAUUCUGCAGACCGACACGUCGAACAGGGGUCCUGCUUUGUCCCAGGGGGUGGGGGGGGGGGGUGGACCGCCCCGUGGUGUUCAUCAGUAGGAAGCUGUCUGAGAGGGAGGCCAGGUACAGCACAGUGGAGAAGGAGUGCCUGGCCAUCCGGUGGGCGGUCGACUCCCUACGCUACUACCUCCUGGGACGCUCAUUCACCCUCUGUUCAGACCACGCCCCGCUCCAAUGGCUCCACCGCAUGAAAGAUGCCAACGCCCGGAUCACUCGGUGGUAUCUGGCUCUACAGCCUUUUAAUUUAUGGUGGUCCAUAGGCCGGGGCGCAGAUGGUCGUGGCAGACUUCCUCUCCCGCCCUCUCGGCGAAGGGGGGGGGGGGGGGGGGGGGGUAGGUUCGGCCGGAUGGCUCCCCGGCCUAAGUCGGGCGGUGGGGGUAUGUGGUGACGUGCGUGGUUUGGCUUGGCUGCAGGGGGGACGGAGAAGGGAGUGGUUCAGGGAACAGUGGCAUAUUCAGCCUCAGGUGGGAUUAAUCAAUCUAUGUGUUCUACCUUUAAGUAGGAGAAAUCCGGCGACAGCGAGAGAGAAUCUGACGAAGGAGCUGGAGCCGGACGCGUACUGUGUGCUGACUGUGCAGACUGUGUUGCUAAAUUAAGUCGCUGUAUAUUCGUCAUUCCACGUUCCCCCAGAGGACCACACCUUACAGCACUUUAUACGGAGAGUGUUGUCCACAUUCAGAGCUUUGCUUCUCAACAAUGCACCUCCUGGAAGAUUUCGUGCGAAGGGGUGUUCGCUCACCGAUGAGCUGACAAGGGGGGCUUCAUCUUUUUGUUACGCUCAGCAAACUUGCGCUGAGUCAGCAUUGCUCAACAGCGAAGUAAUGCAAUAAUCCACUCAUGAAACAGCAGAUUUAAAGGUGAGAUCUGUGUCAAACCUUCUUGUACUUCUUUGGGUCUCAAUUGAGUAAAAGACUUAAGCUUAUCAAUAAAAUCCGGGGGUGUAUUUUCUGCAUCACAAUUAUUCGAUACAGGAAGGGAAAAGACACAUUGCAAAAGACAAAUUGAGACGUACCAAGAGAUUAAAUAAUUCCUCAAAUGCUAAUAAAGCCGAAUCCCUUUCCAUUAGUGCAUUGGACUUCACAGAGGAAUGUCAGAGCCAUAAUGGACAUAAUCUAAUAAAACCCACUCAGGUGUAAAUCUGUGUAAAGCAGAGAUGUGCUGUACACACAUGCAGAAAGGAAGCAAAGCCUUGACACAAUCCCACGGGUCUCAUGACACAGAGUCUGCCGCGUCAUUGACUCAUGACUCAUGAUACUGAAUGUAUUUUUCGGGACUCAAAUUUGAAUGACUUUGUGUCACGGAAGCCUAAUAAAGAUAGACGUUGUUUAAUCAGAGAUGGAGGAGUAAGUGGUCGGCGCUCUCUGUGGAUACUCUAUGUUAGGGAGUAUUCAGAUUUUGAUUAACUGGUUGUAAAAUGAAAAUAUUUUAAGCCUGGAUUAUUGGCAAUGAUUGCAUGUGCACUGUCAAAAGUCACAUUUAUUCACGGCAAUACAAACAAAUUAUAAUUACUCAAUGAAUGAAAUUACAUCAACAGAAAGUUGCUGUUUGAUUUAUGUCUCUUGCUCAUUAUCAUCUCAUCACUGAAGAUUCUUAGUUUUCACCUCCACCAUUCGGGAUUGCUCUACAUAAAAUCCCCCUGAUGACGAUGUUCUACAAUAUAUUUAAAGCUCAUUUUUCCAAAUCCUAAAGUUAUGAAGUUACGAAUUUUCAAAUUAAAUUGCAUCAAAUUCUCAGUAAUAACUACUUGUAGUUUUUAUACAGUACAUUACUUCUAGCGCACAUGUGGACUCAAGCAUUUCCCCACGGUUCUCAUUCUGCUGAUCUAAGCUUAUUGUUCUGGGGCAUGACUAGGCGAUCUUUCUGGAAUCACUUUGGUCAUUGUGUUUUCAUAAAAACUAGUGUUGUGGUAGGGAUUGAAAUUAUACAUAUUUCCUCUCAUAAUCUACUCAAUGGAACAAAUCUGUCGGAAAAUAUUUUUUAAUGAACAGAACAUACCAUUCUGUUUCAGGUUUUAUGACCGUGUGAGUCAGACAGGUACAACUGGAAAUCUCCAAUGCCCCCUUUGCGUGCCCUGUGGAAAAGGAAUCCCUUCUUUCCUUUGUUGUGGUCUUUCAUCCUCACCUCCUAGUUGUUGUCCGACUUUCAUCCAAUGCUCAUUUUAGUGGUGGACCAGUUUUAUCAACCUCUUCAGUCCUUGCUGCUUUGCCACUUUGUCCUUCCACCUAUCUACGCCCCGAGGGACCUUUGACCGGUUGUCCAUCACAGGGCUAUCUCUACAGGUCUAUCCAAUCCACUUCUAUGAAAUAAAGUCACCCCAGUUUGAUGGCCUCAUUACAUCUUUCCUGAUUGAAAUAUUAUAAAGGGUUAUUUGGACUUGACUUCUAUGUAUUCCCUGUGUGCAUGUGUAGGCAUUACAGUCCAGUACAAUCCUAAUGUUGAUGUCACGGGAGAACAAGGAUUAGGACCCAAAUGCAACCACAGGAGCAACUAUAGGGUUACCAAAUGUAUUCGUUGCCCCAACAAGACGACGUGAGAAGGUAGGCAGAUCACGGUGUGAGUCCCGUGGCUCGACGCCGGAGGCAAGCGGAGUACCGGAACUCUACAGACGGAGAGAAAGUCAGUAGUGCACAAAGUCAGGCAAUGGAACUCACAGAACCGCAAUGGUGACUACCGGGGGAAGCAGACGAAACAGACUGACAACCCAAGCCUGCAGGGCUUCAGGGUCAUUCAGGGUUGAAAUAGAGCCGAUGACAAGUCCUCAUUGGUCUCGGCUAUGUAUCCUGACAGAAGAAAGUCCUAAAUUAAUUAAUAAAAAGACAACGCUCCCAUGGAAAAAAACUGCUUGUGAAUUGAGUGUUGAUGUUUUAUUUGGAUUUCUUUGAAGAACACUUGCACAUUAUGUAUCAAAAAUAAGUUUCACACAGAGCUUUAGACCAUGAGAUGGAACCUGUUAGUUAUAUUUUUCAUCACAUUAUUAAUACCUGUGACUGCUCUCCAGUUUAAAUUUUACUUUGAAAAGGUAAAUGCGAAUGCACUUCAGUUUCAUGGGAACCAAAAUUUUUGAUGGUGGCCUCAUAGCAAAAGAACCCCUUUUAGUUAUUUUAUUAGAGAGCUACAAAUCUAUCUAUUAUCCAUGAAUCAUUGAACUUUGCAGGGAUAUUUAAUUUAACAUAGUUACAGCCUCUCGCAUAGUGGUAAAAAGCAAAGGGUUUUACCAACAACAUUAAAAGCAGCUCUGUGCUAUUCAAAAGUCCCAGUUAGCCAUGUAUAACUACCGUCAAGAUAAAGACACAGAUAUUAAAGCAACUAUACAUAAUUCAGUCAUCAUUCAAUUGAUUAUUUUUGGCGGAAAAUGAUUAGCCUUGUUUGUAGUGCACAGCACAUCCUCUAUGUCUGUGUAAAUUCAAGGUGACGGUAUGUACUGUAUUUCUCAUAAUUAAUGAUAUACUGUGUAUACAGCUCAGGACUGCAGCUGUUUCGAUACAGUAAGCUAUUACUUUUGAUUGAAACAAGAGUGGAGAUGAAUGGAUGCAACGAAUUAAUGAUGAAUGAAUGAAUGGAUGGGUUCUGCAACUGCAAAAGUCAGUGGACCGGAAGGAAUCAUAAGAAUCCAAUAAUGGCCAAGAUACAAGGAAGUUACAUUUUAAAUCCAUGUCACCCUCUACUUAGCAGCACUCCCAUUAAAUCUCAGUCCAGACCUCUUGGAGUAUCAGCAGAGCUUACAGAUAUGACUCCCAAUCCCUCCAAUGAUACACUUUGAUCCUGGGACACAAAAAUCCUUUUUGUGCAUUAACGAGAUAGUUAAACAUUCCUGACACUCUGGAGAAGGAACAGUGUUUCCCAAUUUGGUAAAUGCCACAGCAGGGGGUAAAGGAGAAAGCUCCUUGCUCAGCUGCAAUAUAGGAUAAGAGAUGAAAUAUCCCCCAAAUGAGGUCUUCAACCCUGCAUCUGGAAUCCUCCGGUAAUCUCUUUCUGCUGCUCGCUUAAUGGCGGUGCAGAGGGGAGAGAGAAAGAGUAGAGUGAGAGAAUAGAAACACAAUGACAGACAAGGUCUCCAAUUGCAUGGCUUGUUACGAUUGGAGAGCAAAGGCCAUGUUGCAUUCCAAAUCAUUUGAAUUAAACACAAUUGCAGUGACUUCAAUUAAGUGUGAAAGGAAAGGUCAGCUAUGAAAGACGUGCGAUAGGUUUCUUUUUUUUUUUUUAAAGGGAAACAGAUUCCUUUACAGCCUCACUAUUUACUGCAUCCCAUCCAGAACUGUGUAAUCCCGUUAAGCAUAAAGAACCACAACAGCUUGUCAUUUCCAGAAACAGGUUUUUAUAUUUUAGGUUAAGGGGUGGUUUGCAUGCACCCUCCAUGCUGGAUUACUAAUUGAUCUUGUUUUACAUUGCAAAUGAGUCAUUCAUAUUAGUGUUGGCUCUGGCUCAAAGGGAGGGUGCAUUGGUCUUAUCCAGUCGCUGCAGGAUUUGAUUAGCAUUGCACAGAGAGUGAGUCUUGGCAGCAUCCGACAUAACCAUGCAAAUGUGAAUGAAUAGCUAAUGUAUCAUGGGAAGGAUGUUUGUUUCUCUCAUGUUGGAGAUUUCCGAGGGGAAUGCAUUCCAGGACGGCAAACACUUCCUAUUUCAGGGAGAAGAAAAUGCACCUCUCAAGCAGUGUGUACCAGUGCAAUACAGAUGCAGAAUGUGUGAAGUUUCAGUGUCUGAUAGCUUGUGGUGACAAUCACUCGCCCGGCAAGUCAAUCAUGUGCCUCGUACAGUGGAAGGUGCUUUUCAUAUUUCAUUCCCUUUUUGCUGUAUCAUUAUGACAAUGCCCCAGGCCUCUGGGCGCUUUUCCUGGAUGCACAGUCUUUUUUUCCCGGACUGAGAUGUGCCAGGUUGUGUCUGGAUGCGCACAAGCUGCCGUCACCAGUCAGGGUGAGCCAGCGAGCCUCUCGCACUGGGGAUCUUCUGGGCCCCGUGCACCUUAUCAGGCUAUCGUGAGCCUGUGCAGAACCGCAGGCGCUGAGAUGCUGUUCAGCCUCCCUGGCUGCUAGUCAUUUAUGGUUUGUUGACAGGGGUCAAAUCCAAUUGCAAACCAACUAUUUCUUAGUCUCUCUCCAAGACCAUUCGUUCCUGAGCUCUGAAAACCAUAAAAAAUCAUAUCAAACAGAAAUAUUCAUACAUGCCGUAGCUGGGACUGGGUCCGUGAUUAUCGGGAAUAUUGAUGUUCUUAUCGUUUUUGGUCAAAGAAGGAAAAACAUAUUUCAGAAAGAGGAGUUAAAAAGUUUGAUAUAUUGGAAACAACACUAGUUUGUGUUCUUAAUUGGAGGAAAUUGAUUCCACUAAACAUGCGCCAAGCUAACAUCUUAGCACACAGGCUAAAGUGUUUGUUGGCCUUCAGGCUGAGUGUGACUCACACUGAUUACCUCCUUUGUAGGAUAAUUACUUACAUUUACUAACAUUGAUUAGUAGGCUCUUCACCACAGGCAGACAUUGACUCUUGUUAACAGUCAGCCCCAUGGUAUUAAUACAACAAAAGGAUAAAACUUCUUCAAGGGUAACAAUAACACACGUUCAACUGCUGCCUUUAACUGUUCCCACAGGAUGCCAGAAAUCCACUGACGGUAACAGGAAAAUAUGUGAUGUCCACAUUGUGUUUUCAUGUCACAUUAAGCAAACAGCCAGCUAUUCCUGCUGAAUCUCACCAAGGACAAGACUUGUUUGUAGCACAAGAUUAAGACGGACUGAUAAUCGCUGCAGGGGCUUGGGACCCGCCUUUAAUAAUUUAAUUUAGAUGAUGCCCGAGUCUCUGCAUUCAUGUCAGGAACAUCUCGCCAGUCAUUACUGUCUGACAAUUGCAUUAUGGGUUGGUUGUGAACUCCCUUUGGCAUUGUUACAAGGCCAAAUCUCACGGCCCAAUGUCUGCAGAACUAUAACUUGUCUUUCUGUUGCACAUAGCAUUUGGCAGGACAACAUUUGAUUUGGACAUUAGCACAAACAUAAGCAUAGUUAGUGACAGCUACUUGUAAUUAACCACUGUACUGAGAGAGGUGAAUCCAUUCUCCUUACUACAGGGAACUCAAAGAGCAGAUCAUAUGGGAGAUUGAACCAUUCCAUACAUUCUUGGUCAUUACCUUACUCGGAUGACUUUCACGGGUUGCUUGUGAAUGAAAUAAAAUGUGUCUGUUAGUAAGCUAAUGAUAAGGAUCGCUAAUUAGCAUUAGUUUUCCGCUUGCAAAAGCGCAAUAGUUACAGAUUAAGAAUCCAUGCAAUAUUACAGUUACUUGAUGAAAAAUCAAAGAUGACAUUGCAUCUCCCACUCAGCGUUCACAUUCCAUUCCAGCUGUUGUUAAACUCCUCGCUAUAUUACAAUUAUUGGCAUCAGGAUCAUUUCAAACAGUCAUAGCAUCAGCAGAGGGAAUAUAUCAGUGUGCACUCAGCCAUAUGACAGCAGUACUUCACAGGUACUUCACGCUUUGCUUCAGCGCACCAGUCAAUACCUACAAUUCCUUACCACCGAUGCCAAAAUAACACCUUGUUUUGUUACUCUAUUUUUGUUUUGACUUUUGCUGAUCCAUAAUAGAAAGAGUAGGAGGUCCAUUCAAUUGCGCAGGUUUUGUAAAUAUGAUGGAAGCUGAAGUAUUGUAGUGUGCAUUUGCUGCGGGUUGGCCGUGCUGCUGAUAAUACUACGUUUACAAAUGUACGUAUAUGAGGGCCUAAGAUUAAUUAAGUAAGUCAGAGCUUUAGUAGAAGUAAGAGAACAAAGAGGUUAACUCUUCUGCUACUAGAAUCUUAAAGCUGAUUGUGUUUUUUAGUUUUUGCAUUGUUUGUGGUUUGCUUCAUCUUCAAGUGUGGUUGAAAUGAAAACACAUUUUUGCCGUUUUUCUAAGAAAACUAGUCAGUCUAGUUUAAGGAAAUAUGAAGGGUUCAGAUCCGCCUUCUGCCUGCUUCAAUCUACAGCAGGUUAUACAACCCUACUCAGAAAAACUGCAUCAUGUCAGGCAGCCCUUUCUGUCAGGAAAUCACAUCAGUGCAAUUCAGUGGCACAAACAAAUAGAAAUGGCUUGAGUGUCUUGAGUGUUUUAUUUUAUUUUAUUUUGUGUUUUCUGCUUUGUUUCUUCACUUCCUGCCUGGUCCUGUCAUUCCCUGUGAUUGUCUGAUCGUUUCCACCUGUGUCCAAUCACCUGCACCUCCCAGUGUAUUUAAGCCGUGUGUCUCUUGUUCCUGUUCCCGAUCCCGAUCCUGGUUCCUGUUUCUGCCUUCGUUUUUGCCUUUUUGGCCUUUUGAUUUUGAAAACCUUUUUUGACUAUUAAAGUCCCUUUUGUUUCUCAAGAAACUCUGCGUUUGAGUCCUGCCUUUUUUUCCCACGCAACUCCCAUGACAUUGAGAGUCAACUAAAUCAACCUCGUUGCGAUCUUGAAAUGUUGCGGAUACCUCAGAAAUUUGGUUUUCAUUAACCAGAUGUUAAGUCAAACAGCAAAUAUGCCUCACCUUGCAAGCUACAGUGAAAAACCUGGGAAUCUGUAGGGAGAAAGAAAACCGCUCUGGUGUGGCUUAAAUAUUGGAGGACCCUAAUUGAUAACCAGCAAGAAAAGGGUUGGGUCCACCCGGGCCUACGUUAGGUCAGUAGGGACAUUUCACUGUCAGUUACACCUUUCUUUUUUAAGUACACAAAGUAGUGUUACAUCAACCCUUUCACACCACACAUAGUGGUAUGAUCCACUGUUAAUAACAAAUAUUUAUUAGUGAAGCUUCAAAGGCACUGAUCUCUAUUUAUUCUAUUAUAACAAUUUACCUACAUUAUGACUAAAAUCUGCAGCUCGCGUCAGCUUUAGAGAUAUAUAGUGGGUCAGGUCAUUCUUAAACUUUCAGGCCAUAACUUUGUUUUUGGUUACCUUUCACUUCUCUCAUAUUGAGACUUUUAGCUGAAGCUGACAGCUGCAGAAAAGCUGUAAUAUUCCACUAUGCUCUACCUGGUCAACAGACAAGGAAAGCGCCUGCUUAGCAGUUUAAUAGGGUGGAACAUUUAGCACUGGCAUAUAUCUUAUUAACUGUUGUUGGUGACAAAUAGCAGCUUAAUAGUGAGCUUAAUAAGCAGCUGUCUCACAGCUUUCUGGAGAGGCGCUUGUAGAAACAACUAAACAACAAUUGUCUGUGUCUCUGAUUUUUCAACAUGUAUUGCCAUUUGAAUGUAACAAUGCCUAUUUGUCUUAGUGCAUCACAAUGUGCAUAUGUUGUUUUGCAUUUAAAAAACAGAAUAUAUUGGCUCCUUCAGUAUGUUGUUGUAAUUUGUUUAUUUGUUACUAUAAUUACUAAUUUUCUCCGGCCCCUUAUUUUGCCUUAAUUUCAUGAACUGGCCCCAAUUCCAAAUUAAUUGAAGAGCCCUGCACUAUACCGUGCAUUCACUCUACAAAUUAUUUCAUGCAGAGUUCGAGCUGGAUGCAUACUUUUCAGAUUGAUCGGACAUGCAAAUCAUUGCGGUGGGAGGAAUUGAAUGUGAUCUGAUCCCUUACCUUACGCACUCACGGAAUCGCAAAACAGUUGUUUCCGAGAGAAAGUCUUACUAUUAAAAUCAGCUGAUAUGACUCAACUUCGCUGAUAUAGUUCAUCCUGCAGCAUCAGGGCGUACCUUUUGUUGCAAAACAUAAUAAAGUCAAGUAUGUAAAUUAAUAUACUGUAUGUAAGUUCUCUUUAAAAACUAUAAGAGGGCUGUCUAAAGUGUGCUUCGACUAUAGUUGGUUUGCAAGUUAACUUAGUUUUUGUUUUUUUUAAGGUGUGAAGUAGUUUUAGGACAAUAUAUUAGACCUUCAUUAAAAAUCCAAUCCGGUUCAUUACUCCUGGUUUCAGUUAGCUCCCACCAGAGUGGCUCAUUUAAUCAUCCAUUUCACAUUGAUGAUUAAAGUCUCAGAAAUAAGUCUCUGUUUUCAUCAGGGCAGGAUCAAAGCCGGCGACAGGUCAUUUGACAAGCCUAUUUGAAGAAUCCUCACAGACUUUUGUUUCUUGCCACUGGUGUAGUUCAUUUAUUUUGCCAAAAUCAGCAUGAAAGUCAUCUGCUUCAAAAACAUACUAUCAUGAUUUAUUGCACUUAAUACAUAGUGAUUAAAAAAUUUCCUUCUUGCUUUCCGUCUUUAUGCUAACCCAUGUUGACCAUGUUCUGAUUGGAGUUUAAUAUCCAUCACAUCUCACUUUUUGAUGGGGGGAGAUAACUUCUACUUUAACUCUGACCUCUGAAUCAGCAGCCAGAAAACAGCCUCAAACACAUUGUUAUUCCUUCCGGAUGCCCAUCUUUUCAGAAAGGUUCACUGAAGGACUUUAUAUUUGUUAUGUAAUCUCCCGCUUUAUUUGCUCCAGUACAUACUACACCCCCCUGAGACGUUUCUUCACAAACACAUUGUAAAGCGAGGGGAAGCAUUUGACUGCAUCUACAGGUGUGAAAUGUUGAAUCUUGAGUUAGGUAUCUUAUGAGCUGUGAAAACAAUACCUCCAACAUGUCACAAGUAAUCCAGCAAUGUGAUGCUGUCUCAUGGUUGACUGCCUUGGGGCUCAGUCCCAACCAAUGGUUUCUACUUUGGCAUGUUGAAUUGCAAAUAAGCCUACAGCCUUAAGCAUAAAUCCUGGUAUAACAUUUACUAUAGUUAUUUACAGAGGCAGUUUGUGUGUUCAUGUGAAGUCUCAACCAGCUUUCUAUCAGCAUUAUAAUGUCCAUCUCUACCUUUCCCUACGGCCCCCUGGGAAGUGAGCAGUCUUUUUUCUGGCGGUUGUGACAUGCUGACAGCUCCUGGAAUGGUUUCAGGUAGCACAUCUCUGUAACCACAUGUGACCGUUACAGAGCCAUCUUUUUCUUGCUCUUCAUCCAGCCAUGCAUUCGACGAACCACUGUUGAUCUGGAUGAUUUACCGGCACUGCGUUGGUGAUCGACCGGAUCCCCCUGGUCUAACGCAUGCGCUCACUCACAGAGUAUGUGUCCCAGUGCACUUUUUAGGAAUAGCAGCUACUUUUAUAGAAAUGCAAUUUAUGUCUGUAUAUCUCACAAUAGCAAAGUCAUCCGGCGGUCCGCACUGGACCCCCCGGCGGGCCGGAUGUGGCCCGCGGACCUUGAGUUUGACACUUGUGAUUUAUAACUUAAGUGUCAACUUUCAGUGCUGCUGUACGGAGAAGUGAGUUAUUUAUGUUUAUGAAGAGAGGUCAGGACUAAGGUUAGCUGUAGCUCAGUACAUAGCGUUACUAAUGGUUUAAUCCUCAACCAAUUUUGUCAUACAGUUAGGGAUGAAUAUAGUUGGGUUUUUUUACAAUACUAAACCGUUUAAAACGAUACCAGUGCCUAAACCGACUUUUGGAUUAAAAAACUCACAUAACAACGAUUGAUUAACUUUUUAUUGCCAUGGCAAUUUUUUUCUUCAAAUUGAAUAAACUACAUUAUCAAUACUGUACAUAUAAAUAAAUAAAAAAACACUUGACUAAAAACUAAAGCUUCAAACCUUUUAACUUCAAACUAUGAACAAUAUAUGAACUGUUUACAGUUUACAGCAUGAUUACAGUGUUUCUCGUCUGUAGGAGCAGGAAGUGUAUUUAUUAGAUCAUUGCAAUUUGGGAAAUAUUAAUCAUUGUGUCUGCCUGUGUCCAUUGGGACAAAACUGCCGUGUGCAGCUAAAAACUUUCAGACUUUAAUAACUGAGGGGAAACACUGACUUAAAUAAGUUUAAAUAGAAGGUACAUGGCUAGCUAGCUACUGUAGCUAGUGACACAACGCCCAAGGUUAUAUUUUACUAGAAGUCCCUCUGGUUCAUUCAUGUGUUCACCUGCAUAGGAUGCUGUAGGAAAGGUCUUUAAUUUCUUAAGUUAUUUUUCUUUCCACUUUCCAAACUCUUUCCAGUUCACAUUUUGUUACAGCAACGUUUUAUUGGUUGUGAGAAAUGUUCAACUUCACCUUCAGCUGAUUUCUUGGCUUUUAUUACUUGCUAAAUGUUUUUACAAAUACAAUCACAAAAGGGCUCACUGAAGAGGACUGCAAAUCAACACAUUGUUUUAUGCGGAGCAAAAUGCACCGUACAAUAGAUCCGUCUCACAUUGAUGCUGUGUGAUGGUAUCGGAUUCCUGUUCGGCCAUUACAGAGACACUCUAUGCCUUCUGGCUUCCUUUAUGGCUCACUGAGAUCAGUCAGAUCAACAAACCUGCUCACUUUAUCAGCAUUGUAAUUUAUCUCAAAAGACAACUUAAUAGUCUCUUUACAAGGGCACAUCAAGAAAACAGAAAAAUAGUCUAUUAAACUGUUUUCUCUGUUAUUUUCUAUCUCUGGCACACAGUCAGCCAGAAGUAUAUGAUACAUCUAUCAAAAAUAACUACUCCAAGCACCUCCAAAAGCUAUAGGCCUUUGAUUGAAGAACAUAGCUAAUCAGUCAAACAAGAUUACAGAUAAAAAGCUGAGCUUGAGAUUUUUUUCUGUCUGGAGACAAAGGUUGAGGUAAUUCUGACAUUGCAAGAUUUGAAACAUAAAUGCUCUCAUUUGGAGGGUCUAGAGUGACAUGCUGGGUUCAAAGUAAUCACCUCCAUCAGCAUUUUGUCAGUGUCUACCAGCUGGCUUCUGGAUCAAACAGAGCUCUACAGCAUAUCUAGCAUGCAGCUGAAAGCCUGACAAAUGGAAUAACCAUAGAGUGUUUUAGAAAAUAACAAUCAUUCUUCUCACACUUCCAACUUAACUCAACAUCAAAAAAAAAAUAGAAAAGGGAAAAUGCCCACAAGCAUCUCCAGGCUUCGAUUUGUAUUGUAUCCAUUGCCCGAGAAAGCCUGAAUCAUUGCGCAAUUCUGAGAAAAGGAACCUGCAGCGAAACAUCUGAAACCGAGAAAGAAGUCUGUAUUGAAGUAUAAUCCUGUUAGUUAGUUACACAACUCUCUAACUAAGAUCUGGAGGUUCUACCAACCCGCUCUGUAUUGGCCUAAAACUGAUACCUGAACAUGACAUCAAUCUGGCUGGUUCUGUCAACUCCACUUCUUGGUAGGGACCAUGCCCAAACAUAGGAGUGGGCAAUCAUUUUUCACAAUGGGCCACAUAACAAACAGGGACUGUUGUGGAAUGCACGACCAAUGGAAUGAAGCCGAUCCUGCUCUAUGUCAUUCCACCUCUUUAUAAUAAUCAGUACAUUGUAUGGUUUUGAUAAGAGUGGCAAGAGCACAUAUUAUGAUCAGUGGUGGAAUGUAACUAUUACUGUAUAUUUGCCUAAGUAUUGUACUCAAGUACAAAUUAAAGAAGCAUUAACUAGGCUUUAGUUAGCUAUUUGGGAGAUGGGGGGCUCAAGUGGGGCCAGGCCCCAUGGCCCUCUAUGGGCCAGCUACCAAUGGUGGCAACCUGUAAAUAUGCACAGGUUGUUUAAAUCAACACAUGAAAGGGUCUUUACAGUGAGACGAAGAACACUCGUUCCCUCCUAAUGAUUAUUUACACAGUCCUGACAGUGCCACAGUAAUUAUUGUGUAACAUAACACAUCACAGCAAUCAGACCAAAUGUUCCCAUAAUGGUCGGGACUAUCAGUGCUAUGGAUAAUAUUUAAAUUCACAAACUUACAAUUCUUUUAGGAUUAAUACUGAUAAUGAGGAUGUGGAGUAAUUGUUCGAUGGCUGCAUGACUCUCAUGUGCAGGUGGUGAAUGUGUGCCAAGGGCGGGGGCUGAGUGACAGUUACUGCAGGGAGCGUCUCAUUAGAUAGUUGAUUGCCCUUUGGCUGUGUACCGUGGGCUGUAACUGUCGUCAUGUAAUAAACCAUGAAUUCCUAGAGGAAGUUCAGUCAACUGCAUCGAUCUUAUGCGCAGGCAAAAAUCAUAAUUGCCCCGUAUUAGAAGAUAAUUGCUCCGUUCUUUAACUGGGUUUUACUCGAGAGGUGCGAGAGCCUAUACUUUAUUGUCAAUAAUGUUACAGUUCAAGGGUGUUAGGCAAAAACUUGAACAGUAUCAAUAUUGCCGAUAAAGUCUCAGGAUCCCUGAGUCUCAUUCCCACAUGUGGGUCAUCCCCCUGUGUGUUUUGCCAUGUUCUUGUUGUGAGUGUGUUCUUGGUCCCACCUCCAGACGGCGCCCAUUGCCACAUCCCCCGAGCAGUAUGUAGCUGAGACCAAUGAGGACUCGUCAACGGCUGUAUUUCAACCUUGGCCUUGCAGGCUUGGGUUGUCAGUCUGCCGUUCUGUCAGUGCCAUUGCCUGACUUUGUGCACUACCGACUUUCUCGCUCUCUGUCUGUAGAGUUGUGGUACUCAUCUUGCCUCUGACGUUGAGCCACAGAACUCACGCCGUGAUCCGCCUACCUUCUAACGUCGAGUCACGGGACUCAUGUCGUGAUCCGCCUACCUUCUGACGGCGAGUCACGGGACUCAUGUCGUGAUCCGCCUACCUUCUGACGGCGAGUCACGGGACUCAUGUCGUGAUCCGCCUACCUUCUGACGUCGAGUCACGGGAC
Molecule: long non-coding RNA, 31457 nt
Organism: Gasterosteus aculeatus aculeatus (three-spined stickleback)
Lineage: Eukaryota; Metazoa; Chordata; Actinopteri; Perciformes; Gasterosteidae
Source: Ensembl